UGUGUGUGUGUGUGUGUGUGUGUGUGUGUGUGUGUGUGUGUGUGUGUGUGUGUGUGUGUGUGUGUAUAGUUUGAAGCCUUAUUCAUUCUUCUUCACUUAUUUGGGACUUAACAGGAAUGAUGAUCUGUUGUUACUGGCUUUACAUCCCACCUUCUAGACCGUUCUACACCACCAUUUUCAGAACUAAUCCCUUUUGAUGCAGAAUGUAGCUCAGGUUUAAAAAAACAAACAUUUUAGUCUCCUGCUUAGCAAAUCUGAUGAGGUCCCCCCAAAAAAAAGAGGUCAUUUUUAUUUAUUUUUUAAAUCGGUUACUUUGCCAGCAAAAACAUAUUGUAAUCAGAUUACAGAGGAUUACUUCUUGGAUUACUUUUACAUUCAGAAAGAAUGUUUGCGGAAAAAACUAAAUAAGCAUUAUGACCAAGCGAUAAUGUGAUCACUGGAAAUAUAACCGCUUUGAGUUAGAGUUUUAACAACGGCCAAGUAGGCUACUGUUGCUCUUAGAUCAUAAUGUAGGACCUACCAGAGUAGCCUACCAUCAAAAACAAUCACCAUAAUAUCUUAACAUGGAAACAGCUGUUCAGCCUACAGCAGCAACCAAUGUGUGGUGUUCCAUGUAGAACUCACAUCUGACGGUUUAUCAGAGUGUUGACUACAAAAUGUUCACUACAAAGUGUUGACUACAAAGUGUUGACUACAAAGUGUUGACUACAAAAUGUUGACUACAAAGUGUUCACUACAAAAUGUUGACUACAAAGUGUUCACUACAAAGUGUUGACAGUUGACAGCAUCUCUUUGCUGUAUUCGUUGACAGUCUCUCUAGUCGUGGUUUUAAAACGUUUUACAUCUCACAGUAUCCACUGUAGCUUUCUCUUAUGCUGCUACAUUACUGAAGACACGGUCAUCUGAGCCAUCUGAUUGGCCAGCGGUAGACCUAUAGUCCACUUGAUUUGCUCUCUGGGUCCACCAGGAAGGAAGAGUUUGUACCUUCAGACACAUGAAUAGGAACACAAGGCUUAAUCGUUGUGUUUUUACAGAAAUGUUUGGUGAUCGACUAGGAAUGCCUUGAAUAUAUUUUUAUUUAUUUAACAAGGCAAGUCAGUUAAGAACAAAUUCUUAUUUACAAUGACAGCCUACCGGGGAACAGUGGGUUAACUGCCUUGUUCAGGGACAGAACGACAGAUUAUUACCUUGUCAGCUCGGGGAUUUGUUCGAUCACGAUCCCCGAGUCUGACCACAAGUCAGAGACCACUAUGAUGACACACCAAAUAAUGACCACCAAUCAGAGAUCACUAUGAUGACACACCAAAUAAUGACCACCAAUCAGAGAUCACUAUGAUGACACACCAAAUAAUGACCACCAAUCAGAGAUCACUAUGAUGACACACCAAAUAAUGACCACCAAUCAGAGAUCACUAUGAUAAGCACAACCAAAUGAUGACCACCAAUCAGAGAUCACCAAAUGAGUUUAAUAGUUCCUUUCUGUCUUCUUCUAAUCCAAAUGUAACAGAAAGUAAUCUGAUUACUUUACUGAGUUUUGGGUAAUCCAAAAAGUAACUUUUCUAAUUACAAUUUUUGGGCAGGUAACUAGUAACUGUAAUAGAUUACAUUUCUAAAGUAACCUACCCAACCCUGUGUAUAAAUGUUAUUCCUCUGAUGUCAAGGCCCACAACACUCACUAAGGUCACUUCAGGUUUUCCUUCAUUUUGCUCUUUUUCAGUGAAGCUGUAAGAGAACCUCCCAUCUGUGUGUUUUUAAGUUGUAAUAUUAUUAUACUUGUUUCUCAUAUUAUUCAUUUUACGGUAUUUUGGUUGCCUGGUUUUUGAUCCGUACUGAUAUCUGUAGUGCAUUUUUUUUCUUUCUCUCUCUCUCUCUCUCUUUAAAAGGUGAACUGGUUGUCUGUCACUCUGCUUUUCAUAACAACAGGUGUUUGAGUCUUCAGAAAGCCCUGAGAAUGUGUGUCUGAAAUAACACCUUAUUCCCUAUAUAAUGCACUACUUUUGUACAGAACCACAAGAGUCCCCCCUUGGCAUUGACCUCGACCCAAAGUUUUUAGGGUGCAUCAAAAGUAGUGCCCGGUAUAGGGAAUAGGGCACAAUAAUACUGUUGUGUCUGAGGGGCUGGUUCAGACCGUGAACCUCAUAUAAACUACCAUACUGGUUAUUGAUACUGCGCUGCAUGUAACACCCGGGACCAGAGCUAGUCUCCGCUGAGCUGCCUUGGUCGUCGUCUUCAUCAUACUCCUCCUUCUGUGGAUUGACUCUCUCAUGUCUAAAAGCUAUGAUGUUUAAAAAAAGAAACAUUUUCAUUUGUGAACAGGAAAGAAGCCCGGGCUGACUGUAAAUCUUCUGUAUCAUCAUGAAAGCUGAUAAUUCUAGAAUGUCUGAAUGUUCUAGAAUGGAAUAGGGUUCCAUUUGGGAAGCGUCCACAGUCAUGCCUUAAACUCAGGCAGCAUAGUUCAGCCAUGAUGACAGACUUUUCUUUUCAAUUGUGACUAACAUUUUACUUUUACAUUAUCAAAACGUUUUUAUACUGAAGAGUCACAAACAACAGAAACAAACAGGACCAAAGUUGAUGUGCCUUUCAUUGAUCUGUUAUUCAUCACUAUUGUUUAGAUUAAAGACCGUCAUUGCUGAAGACGAGGUCAUUGGCUCUCUCAAAACGGGUAAAGUUAUUGAUAUACAUUUCAGUCAAAAUAUAAUUUACAACAUUUUGACAGGAAUCCAUAUUAUUAAGGGAGCCCAUUCCUAGCCUGGUUAAGCCAGACUGAAACAGUGAAACGUAAUGAAACAUAAUGAAAUCAGGUUGGAUUCCAGGCUAGCCCAUUGAUUCCCACAGACUCACGUAAUAAAACGCAAAAAAAAAACUAAACAAAUGUACCUUUAGCUUUACUUUGAGUUGUACAAGAAGACAACACAUGAACUGAAACCAAAGGAACUGAAUCCUCUAUUACAACAACCAAUCAUAGUGUAGCGACUCUCACUGGACCAGGGUUCGAUUCCUGGCCGGGGCUACUGGACCAGGGUUCGAUUCCUGGCCGGGGCUACUGGACCAGGGUUCGAUUCCUGGCCUGGGCUACUGGACCAGGGUUCGAUUCCUGGCCGGGGCUACUGGACCAGGGUUCGAUUCCUGGCCGGGGCUACUGGACCAGGGUUCGAUUCCUGGCCUGGGCUACUGGACCAGGGUUAGAUUCGAUUCCUGGCUGGGGCUACUGGACCAGGGUUCGAUUCCUGGCCGGGGCAACCCCCCCCCCCCCUUUAAUAGUGACUUUUCCUUUCAAUAUCACUGAAUUAUAUGGGAGACAAAUGAUUGACGAAUUUAAAUAGAUUUCCAGUUCCAUGAUUAUUAAAGGGAGAGAUUAUAUAUUUUAAAGAGCCAUGUAGUUGCACAGAGCUCAGUCAGAAGGGUGCGUCCAAAACGGCACCCUUAUCUCUACGUAGUGCACUACUUUUUGACCUGAGCCCUAUGGGCCCUGAACAUAAGUAGUGCACUAUAUAGAGGAUAAGGUGUCAUUUGGGACACUGGAAAAGUGUCUCAUCUGAUUGAAUUUGUUUUUCUUGUCUCGUUAAGGCGCGUCUUGAUAAUAUACCUUAUUUAUAGUUAAUAUUCAAUGUUUCACGACCAAAAUAGACAACAAGAAAGUCUGUAAUCAAACAUGUUCCCUUUUCAAACUUGGCCAAAAUGGUUAAUGGGAACAAGAAAGCUACAAACAAUAACAAUAUCGAGAGAAAUUAAAGGCCCAGUGCACUCAAAAAAACGUGAUUUACCUGUGUUUUAUAUUUCCACACUAUGAGGUUGGAAUAAUACUGUGAAAUUGUGAAAAUGAUAAUAACGCCCUUUUUGGUGUAAGGGGUGUUUGAAAAGACUGCCUAAAAUUCCAGCCUGUUUUGGUGACAUCACCAGGCGGUAAAUGAGUUAAUAGACCAAUAAGAAAGAGUUCCAAACCUCUCUGCCAAUAACAGCUAAUGUUCAGUUUUCCCCUCCCCACUCAGACCACUCCCAGACAGUCCUAUCUAAGUUCUUACUUGAGAUAUUGCUCUUUGCUAAGAAGCUAUUUUAGUUUCUUUUUGAUCAUUUGAAUCACAGUUAGGUCCUUAAUUUUUACCCAGAAAGUGUUUGAUACUGAGAUAAAAAAAAAUAAAAAAAACAGCUGCAUUGGACCUUCAAUUGUUUUUUUUUGUGUUUGUUUUAAAAAAAUAUAUAUUUAAAGAUGAUGAACACAACAUGAAAAAAAACAACUUGUGUAUUUUGAUAUCAUACCAGGUUUGAUUUGUAAAACAGUGUGUGUGACGUCGUGGGGAUGGAAGGUGGGGUGAGAAACAACAGGAUUCCUUAUGAGUUGAUGUCAUUUAAAUGCAAAUAGAAAAUGAAACUAUUAAAGAAACAUAUUUUAAAAUGUUGUGGUGCAUGCAUGGUUGAAUGGAGUUUCUGUAUUUGAUAUAGAAACAUUUUCUUUUAUGUUUUUCGAUUGGUUACUAUGAUUAUUAUAGUUAUUAUUAUAAUGAUUCUCAUUAUUAUUAUUGCAUCAGAAUCUCUUCUUAAUUUUUUCCUAAAGCAACUUUAAUUGUAGCAUGCCUUGAAUAAAUGUCAUGAUCUCUGUACUUUCCUCAGUCCUCCCGUUGUCUUCUUGUCUUCUUGUCUUCUUGCUUUCCUCACACAUUGGCAAUCAAACUAGUCUCCGGGAAGAAUCUCAAUUGCGUUUUCUUGACUCCUCGCAUCCUCUCUCCUCGCUUCCUUCUCAAAACCCAUUGGAUGAGAAGGUCAGAGGGGAGGGACCUAAUGGGUUUUGAGAAGGCGAGGAGAGAGGACGUGAUGAGUCAAGGAAAAGCAAUUGACAUUCUCCCUCAGUGUUCCUUCCUCCUUCCUUUCCUGUCUAACUUCUCUCAACCACUGCAGUGUGACUAACUACCCUUUUACCCAAUCACGCUGCUCGCCCCUCCAAAGCUCCACUUGCCUCUCUGUUCUCUUCCUUGAACAUCUUCCUCUAAAGGCAACACCCCAUACCUUGACUUGACUUAAACCCUUUUGCUCUGAGGGCCGAUUUCUCAGUCCUACAAGAUUAAACCAAGUCCUGGACUAAAAGUAAUUCCACUGAGCAUGCCUAAGAGGU
RNAcentral lists this long non-coding RNA (5107 nucleotides) under Salmo salar (Atlantic salmon). RNAcentral's name for it is "lncRNA (ENSSSAG00000098564.1)". The record is from RNAcentral. Lineage: Eukaryota; Metazoa; Chordata; Actinopteri; Salmoniformes; Salmonidae.